AUGCUCGACUAACAUUUUUGUUUGACUCUAUUUCAGUAUGCUACAAGGCAACGUUAGUGAAUAUUACUUCCACAAUUGUAAAACCGCACCAGUUAUUAUUGUUCUUGGAAAAGGUAUAAUCUCUCUGUUGAACCAAAUUAUUGAACUUCUUAGUUUUCAAGUCUUACGAAGUGAUAUAAAUUUUAUUCAAUAACAGAGGCAGGGGAAGAAUCUGUUGUGUAACGGAGCAGGCAAAGAUGAGCAACUCCAUCGAAUCCUUGUCCAGCAUGUUAAUGUCGACUCCAGCUGUUUCUUGAGAGCAAAUUUCUGUUCAGAAUGAUUGUGUGUGUUUAUAUGGAUUAGAUUUUUAUGUAUUGAGUCAUUACUAACGUUAAAAUUUGUGUAUUAAAUAGCAUCUCUAUUUAUUUGAUCGACUUGCUUCCUCACAGCUACAGAUUUUUCAUCCUGCGUGUAAACUAUGUCAUGGUUAUUUAUAUAAGCACACUCACGCAUGCAUCCUCUAAACUUGGGAGAGAAAUGCUGACAUUGCCAGAAAAAGCUGCUUACUUCUUGGCAUUCUGAUAUUGGACUAUUUAAAAAAUAGCCAAAUUUUGAACCAAUCAUCUACCGUCAACAUUGCAUCUGUCAAAUAGGCGGGGAAAAAUAAAAUCAUCUGACAAAAUGAUUGGAAAUGGCAAGACAGCCUACAUGAUUCCCCGUUCGGAAAAAAGGAAAUUCCUCAUAUAAUGUAGAAUUUUACAUCUAAAAUGUUCACAGGAGUGUUUGAAAUGUUCGGCAGCCACGUAAUACAACAAAUGGUCUUUACUCAAGGAGAUGGGAAUGGAAGGACAAGAAGUGAAACGUGAACUUGAUCAUCCUCAAUCAUCAUAAUCUUUUUGUUUGCUUCAGCAGAGCGUUGGCUUCACUUAACAAAUGUAGUUUCUUGGAUUGCUCUUAAAAAAUGUGUCACUAAAUAAUGAUUGGUUUGGCAUCUUCCAGCAACUCCUUAACAACAAAAACUAUGUACAAGGCAAAUCCGAUUUAAACAACACAUCAUCAACUGUCGUGAAUCGGAGCUUGUAACAAAAUAUAUACAAAGCGGGCCAUGUAGGUGGUAGCGACUGACAUAAUUAACAAUUUUCUUGACCCCGUAAAUGAUUGAGCUAUAAGUCUCCAAACUUGGAUUGGAAAUAGACGAGCAGAUGGAAAUCUGCAGAAUAAUAACGUCAUCCCAUCAAAAUCAUACAUGUCAUGUCUAUAGAAAAAUUAAAUUUACCUGCACCCCAAGAGAUGUAUUUAAGAUAUGAAUAAAUUAAUAUUUUUCUCUCUUAACAUUUUUAACUUCAAUGAUUUCACAAAAGGAAUGAGAUUUAAUGAUUUAACAAUAUAUGAGUUACUAGCUGUAACACAUUAAAUAUUUAUCAAACUAAUUCCUGGCGUGUGUAACGCACGUGGUGUAUUGUAAUAGAGUAUUUCAUUGAUGGACUUACCAAAUUCUUAUUGUAGUCUGCCUUUUUUGCUCAUGGGUCUACAAACACUCGACCUCCUCUUCCUCCACCCAUUCCCUCUAAAUAAUUGCAUACUGAAAAGGAAAACCAAGACAUACGUUUCCUCUCUUUUUUUGCCCGAGUUAAUGGAAGGGAAGAUAUGCUUGUUCCCUCACUAUAAAGAAGAAACAAACUCCUUAGCAACACUCACAACCCAAAAAAGAGGAGGAAAGUCUUAUUAUCAAUAAUUAAUUUCAAUUGAUUUCAAUAGAAUUAACAUGAAGCCCAAUUUCUGCAUGAUAAUUCUUCAUGAAAUCCUAAUUUCACCAAUCCGAUUAACCCAAUUUGAAUUCAAACAUUUUACAAAAUUUGAAGCCAGAAACGCAAAUUAAUGGUGGAAAAUUGUUUGUUUGUUAGUUGUCACCUUGAAUCUAGAAUCCAAUUUUCCGUGGUAGUCCUUACUCAUCAUCUUCCUCCUACAUUAAUUAAAACAAAAUAAUAAGUCAACACGGUCACCAAAUUUCAAGUAAAAAAGGUUGUAUAGCUAAAUCUCAACUAACAUCUCCAUUGCUCUUAUUGUCCUCAUCAUCAUCAACCUCAGACUUUGACUUGCCACACUCAUCAUUAGCACUUCCAAUCUACAAAAAUAGUUCGAUAUAAGUUGUUUCGAUAUCGUAGUCUAAACUAAACAAUGUGUAAGGAUAUGCUUCUCAUAGAUGGAUUGUCAAUUUCUUGUUAUAGUAUGCCAUUUUUGCUCAUAUUCCUCCUUUGGUUUCUGUCUUUUUGCACAAGGGAGCUUUUUCCUUAUUUUCAUAACAACAGGAAAUUUAAGAAGAAUAAAACAUAAAUAAUAUCUUAGAUUGCCUAUAUUUACCUCAUCACUCAUGGACACUCACUUAUCUCCACCAGCUUUUCCAGCCUAUAUUAUUAUUUAUUCCCAAAAGGAAAACUAGAAAUCAUAAAGAAAAUUAUCAUGCACACGCUCCUAGUGCAAAUAUCUGGCUUGAAUAUUAACCUUCAAAGAAAAUUUUAAAAAAAUGAUGAACUUAACAACAAUUGAUUCGGAUAUUUUUUCUUGGAUUGUUUCGUGAACCCUUCCCUAAAAGUAGAAAUAGCAUUGAACAGUUUAAUGGUCUAAUCAACCUUUUGCACUUGGAGGCCUCUUUGGCUUGUUUGGAUCCUUCACUUUCUUUUUCUUCUUGGCCUUCCUUGCAGCAAGCCUAAUAUUACCAAUGCAAAAUUAAUCACAGAUAACAAGAGUAUCAAGCAAAAUGUGAAAAAAGGGGGUGAGGCAAAACUUACGGCAGCUCGAAGAAAAUCAGUGUCACAUCUCAACUCUAUCAAUUUCAGCAAUCAGUUAGAGUAACAUUUAACACCAUCAAUAACCAUCUGAUCAUGUUGCAACAAUAAACAUUACGGAGAGCAGAUGUGCAAAGCUAUAACAGGUACCUAACAACCCAAAGUGAGUAUAUGUUCUAUAUGAAAUGUGCGUCCACGUAUGGAAUAUCAUCUAUCAAUAUGAAUAACAGAUCUAAACGCACACGGAUGGAUAUACUUUCCCUACUCACACAAAACCUUUUUUUUCACAAAAAAUCAUUUUUCCCGAAAUUCCUUGUAUGAUCUUCCAACAAUCAAAUGAUCAAAAAGAGGUAAUACUAUUACAAAAAUUCUAUAAAGAUAUUUAAAAAAAAAAAAAAAAGGGAAGCCAAGAGAUGAUAAAUAUCCAUCUUUUGAUAAAAUAAUUCAAUUUUACUAUGCAACCCGGGAAAUAAUCA
This 3241-nucleotide long non-coding RNA is filed under the name Olea europaea subsp. europaea. The record is from RNAcentral. Lineage: Eukaryota; Viridiplantae; Streptophyta; Magnoliopsida; Lamiales; Oleaceae.